RNAcentral lists this ribosomal RNA (618 nucleotides) under Burkholderia sp. IBa287. Its description in RNAcentral is "bacterial SSU rRNA". It matches the Rfam family "Bacterial small subunit ribosomal RNA", at positions 395 to 1022 of the family's 1533-position model. Lineage: Bacteria; Pseudomonadati; Pseudomonadota; Betaproteobacteria; Burkholderiales; Burkholderiaceae. The record is from RNAcentral.
UGCCGCGUGUGUGAAGAAGGCCCCGGGUUGUAAAGCACUUUUGUCUGGAAAGAAACCUUGGUCUAAUACAGUCGGGGGAGACGGUACCGGAAGAAAAGCACCGGCAACACGGCCAGCAGCCGCGGUAAACGUAGGGGCGAGCGUAAUCGGAAUACUGGGCGAAAGCGUGCGCAGGCGGUUGCAAGACCGAGUGAAAUCCCCGGGCUCAACCUGGGAACUGCAUUGGUGACUGGCAGGCUAGAGUAUGGCAGAGGGGGGUAGAAUUCCACGUGUAGCAGUGAAAUGCGUAGAGAUGUGGAGGAAUACCGAUGGCGAAGGCAGCCCCCUGGGCCAAUACUGACGCUCAUGCACGAAAGCGUGGGGAGCAAACAGGAUUAGAUACCCUGGUAGUCCACGCCCUAAACGAUGUCAACUAGUUGUUGGGGAUUCAUUUCCUUAGUAACGUAGCUAACGCGUGAAGUUGACCGCCUGGGGAGUACGGUCGCAAGAUUAAAACUCAAAGGAAUUGACGGGGACCCGCACAAGCGGUGGAUGAUGUGGAUUAAUUCGAUGCAACGCGAAAAACCUUACCUACCCUUGACAUGGUCGGAAUCCUGCUGAGAGGUGGGAGUGCUCGAA